This 1155-nucleotide ribosomal RNA is filed under the name Triticum aestivum (bread wheat). Its description in RNAcentral is "partial small subunit ribosomal RNA". Lineage: Eukaryota; Viridiplantae; Streptophyta; Magnoliopsida; Poales; Poaceae. The record is from RNAcentral.
AUGGUGGACGCACAAGGAUUUGAGUAUGUGUACAAAAUGAGAAGAAGUACCUUCAAUUACGUCUGCUGCUUGGUGAAGAUCCCACUUUUUGAAGAUAUGAUGGCAAAAAAUCACACCUUUGCUGACGGGAAAGUGUUGUCUUUACAAGAUGUUGUGGCUAUUGCUCUGAGAAUGCUGAACUCUGGUGAGCCAUCUGAGACUGUAGGAUCCUCUCUUGGUGUGAAUGAGUCAACUGUCUCUCUGGUAACUCGGAUGUUUGUUGAGGCUAUGUGCCAGCGAGCAAUGCACCACUUGGGCUGGCCAGGCUCUGCCAAAAUGGAGAAGAUCAAACGCAAGUUCGACAAGAUCCAUGGCCUGCCAAACUGCUGCGGUGUUGUACAUACAACUCAUAUCACGUUUGGAUCACAAGACCGUGGCCAUGAGGAGAACGGCAACAUCCUACUGCAAGCCAUUGUUGAUCCAGAUAUGAGGCUCACAAACAUUUGGUGGAACCUAUCAGGUAGCAUGAACCAGUUGAUCAUUUUGCAGGACUCCAGUCUCUUCAAGUCCUGCGAGAGGGGUACUGGGUUGAAUGGUAGCAAGCUGAAGGUAUCAUCUCGUGGUGGAUUAGAAGUCGGCGAGUACAUCAUUGGUGAUGCAGGACAUCCUCUUCGACCUUGGCUCCUCACACCUUACCGGAUAGAGAAUGACCGCUCACUCUCAGACUCCAAAGUGGAAUUUAACAGGAGACACUCUGCAGCUACAGUCGUUGCGCUGAGGGCGUUGGCAGGUUUUAAAGACACAUGGAAGUGCCUGCAGGGAGAAGGUUGGCAUCCAAGUAAUAAACAUGAAAUGUUCUCGACAAUCAAAACGUGCUGGAUGUUGCAUAACAUAGUGAUAGAUAUGGAUGAGGAGGAAGAGGAGGAGGAGCAUGCAGGCAUGCCGAGCGAUCAGGAGUACAGCAAGCAAGUGCGGCAGGUAGCAGACGAGGACGCCGUCGGGGUGAGGGAUGCACUGUCCCAGCACAUAAUCGAAUCUAGAGUCCUCACAGUGGCCGCAGAGGAGGAACAAGAAGCAGCAGCAGUUGCAUCUAGUUCAGGAGAUGGAAACAAGGAACAGGAAGAGCACCGACAACGAAAAGCAAAUCGAGGAAAGGAGAAAGUGGAUGAUAGCUAG